RNAcentral lists this ribosomal RNA (377 nucleotides) under uncultured organism. Its description in RNAcentral is "partial 16S ribosomal RNA". It matches the Rfam family "Archaeal small subunit ribosomal RNA", at positions 477 to 851 of the family's 1478-position model. The record is from RNAcentral.
CAGCUCUCCGAGUGGUAGGGACGAUUAUUGGGCUUAAAGCGUCCGUAGCCGGCUUAGCAAGUCUCCUGUUAAAUUCAGCGACCUAAUCGUUGAGCCGCGGGAGAUACUACUAGGCUAGGAGGCGGGAGAGGCCGACGGUAUUCUCGGGGUAGGGGUGAAAUCCUAUAAUCCCGGGAGGACCACCAGUGGCGAAGGCUGUCGGCUAGAACGCGCUCGACGGUGAGGGACGAAAGCUGGGGGAGCGAACCGGAUUAGAUACCCGGGGGUAGUCCCAGCCGUAAACGAUGCGGGCUAGGUGUUGGGGUGGCUACGAGCCCACUUCAGUGCCGCAGGGAAGCCAUUAAGCCCGCCGCCUGGGGAGUACGGCCGCAAGGCUG